RNAcentral lists this ribosomal RNA (440 nucleotides) under uncultured bacterium. RNAcentral describes it as "partial 16S ribosomal RNA". It matches the Rfam family "Bacterial small subunit ribosomal RNA", at positions 338 to 795 of the family's 1533-position model. The record is from RNAcentral.
CCUACGGGCGGCAGCAGUGGGGGAUAUUGCACAAUGGGGGGAACCCUGAUGCAGCGACGCCGCGUGGGUGAAGAAGCGCCUCGGCGCGUAAAGCCCUGUCAGCAGGGAAGAAAAUGACGGUACCUGAAGAAGAAGCCCCGGCUAACUACGUGCCAGCAGCCGCGGUAAUACGUAGGGGGCAAGCGUGAUCCGGAUUUACUGGGUGUAAAGGGGGCGCAGACGGCGAUGCAAGCCAGGAGUGAAAGCCCGGGGGCCAACCCCGGGACUGCUCUUGGAACUGCGUGGCUGGAGUGCAGGAGGGGCAGGCGGAAUUCCUGGUGUAGCGGUGAAAUGCGUAGAUAUCAGGAGGAACACCGGUGGCGAAGGCGGCCUGCUGGACUGCAACUGACGUUGAGGCCCGAAAGCGUGGGGAGCAAACAGGAUUAGAUACCCGAGUAGUC